UGUGCCAGCAGCCGCGGUAAUACAGAGGGUGCAAGCGUUAAUCGGAUUUACUGGGCGUAAAGCGUGCGUAGGCGGCUAUUUAAGUCGGAUGUGAAAGCCCUGGGCUCAACCUGGGAACUGCAUUCGAUACUGGGUAGCUAGAGAUCGGUAGAGGGCGGCGGAAUUCCGGGUGUAGCGGUGAAAUGCGUAGAUAUCCGGAGGAACACCGAUGGCGAAGGCAACCGCCUGGGCCUGAUCUGACGCUGAGGCACGAAAGCGUGGGG
RNAcentral lists this ribosomal RNA (263 nucleotides) under uncultured Lysobacterales bacterium. Its description in RNAcentral is "uncultured Xanthomonadales bacterium partial 16S ribosomal RNA". It matches the Rfam family "Bacterial small subunit ribosomal RNA", at positions 504 to 766 of the family's 1533-position model. Lineage: Bacteria; Pseudomonadati; Pseudomonadota; Gammaproteobacteria; Lysobacterales. The record is from RNAcentral.